CACCGGGUAUAGAGUAAGAGUUGAGCUUGAUCCUGGAAUCAUGGAAACAGGGCUCCGUGAUGUUUUGGGUUGACGGGUGAGUAACACGUGGGUAACCUGCCUGUAAGACUGGGAUAACUCCGGGAAACCGGGGCUAAUACCGGAUGGUUGUUUGAACCGCAUGGUUCAGACAUAAAAGGUGGCUUCGGCUACCACUUACAGAUGGACCCGCGGCGCAUUAGCUAGUUGGUGAGGUAACGGCUCACCAAGGCGACGAUGCGUAGCCGACCUGAGAGGGUGAUCGGCCACACUGGGACUGAGACACGGCCCAGACUCCUACGGGAGGCAGCAGUAGGGAAUCUUCCGCAAUGGACGAAAGUCUGACGGAGCAACGCCGCGUGAGUGAUGAAGGUUUUCGGAUCGUAAAGCUCUGUUGUUAGGGAAGAACAAGUGCCGUUCAAAUAGGGCGGCACCUUGACGGUACCUAACCAGAAAGCCACGGCUAACUACGUGCCAGCAGCCGCGGUAAUACGUAGGUGGCAAGCGUUGUCCGGAAUUAUUGGGCGUAAAGGGCUCGCAGGCGGUUUCUUAAGUCUGAUGUGAAAGCCCCCGGCUCAACCGGGGAGGGUCAUUGGAAACUGGGGAACUUGAGUGCAGAAGAGGAGAGUGGAAUUCCACGUGUAGCGGUGAAAUGCGUAGAGAUGUGGAGGAACACCAGUGGCGAAGGCGACUCUCUGGUCUGUAACUGACGCUGAGGAGCGAAAGCGUGGGGAGCGAACAGGAUUAGAUACCCUGGUAGUCCACGCCGUAAACGAUGAGUGCUAAGUGUUAUGGGGUUUCCGCCCCUUAGUGCUGCAGCUAACGCAUUAAGCACUCCGCCUGGGGAGUACGGGUCGCAAGAACUGGAAACU
Molecule: ribosomal RNA, 890 nt
Filed under: Bacillus velezensis
Lineage: Bacteria; Bacillati; Bacillota; Bacilli; Caryophanales; Bacillaceae
Description: bacterial SSU rRNA
Rfam family: Bacterial small subunit ribosomal RNA
Source: RNAcentral